RNAcentral lists this ribosomal RNA (322 nucleotides) under uncultured bacterium. Its description in RNAcentral is "bacterial SSU rRNA". It matches the Rfam family "Bacterial small subunit ribosomal RNA", at positions 171 to 507 of the family's 1533-position model. The record is from RNAcentral.
GCAUGGGAAUUAUUUGUUAAAGAUUCAUCGCUGAUAGAUAGGCAUGCGUUCCAUUAGGCAGUUGGCGGGGUAACGGCCCACCUAGCCAACGAUGGAUAGGGGUUCUGAGAGGAAGGUCCCCCACAUUGGAACUGAGACACGGUCCAAACUCCUACGGGAGGCAGCAGUGAGGAAUAUUGGUCAAUGGACGAGAGUCUGAACCAGCCAAGUAGCGUGAAGGAUGAAGGUCCUACGGAUUGUAAACUUCUUUUAUAAGGGAAUAAACCCUCCCACGUGUGGGAGCUUGUAUGUACCUUAUGAAUAAGCAUCGGCUAACUCCGUG